UUAGUAUUCCUCCGUCCAACAAAGAAUGUCUCAAUUUUAACUAAAUUUGAAUAUAUCUAUACACCAAGUCAUGUCUAGAUACAUUUAAAUUUUAAAAAAUCUGAGACAUUUUUUAUUGAACGGAGAGAGUAUAUA
Non-coding RNA from Brachypodium distachyon (stiff brome), 135 nucleotides. The record is from Rfam. NCBI's taxonomy places the organism in Eukaryota, Viridiplantae, Streptophyta, Magnoliopsida, Poales, Poaceae.